Molecule: ribosomal RNA, 254 nt
Filed under: uncultured bacterium
Lineage: Bacteria
Description: partial 16S ribosomal RNA
Rfam family: Bacterial small subunit ribosomal RNA
Source: RNAcentral
CACGUAGGGUGCGAGCGUUGUCCGGAAUUAUUGGGCGUAAAGAGCUCGUAGGCGGUGUGUCGCGUCGGCCGUGAAAACCUGCAGCUUAACUGUGGGCUUGCGGUCGAUACGGGCAUCACUAGAGUUCGGCAGGGGAGACUGGAAUUCCUGGUGUAGCGGUGAAAUGCGCAGAUAUCAGGAGGAACACCGGUGGCGAAGGCGGGUCUCUGGGCCGAUACUGACGCUGAGGAGCGAAAGCAUGGGUAGCGAACAGG